RNAcentral lists this ribosomal RNA (425 nucleotides) under uncultured bacterium. RNAcentral's name for it is "partial 16S ribosomal RNA". It matches the Rfam family "Bacterial small subunit ribosomal RNA", at positions 354 to 796 of the family's 1533-position model. The record is from RNAcentral.
GUGGGGAAUCUUAGACAAUGGGGGAAACCCUGAUCUAGCCAUGCCGCGUGAGCGAUGAAGGCCUUAGGGUUGUAAAGCUCUUUCAGAUGGGAAGAUAAUGACGGUACCAUCAGAAGAAGCCCCGGCUAACUCCGUGCCAGCAGCCGCGGUAAUACGGAGGGGGCUAGCGUUGUUCGGAAUUACUGGGCGUAAAGCGCACGUAGGCGGACCAGAAAGUCAGAGGUGAAAUCCCAGGGCUCAACCUUGGAACUGCCUUUGAAACUCCUGGUCUUGAGGUCGAGAGAGGUGAGUGGAAUUCCAAGUGUAGAGGUGAAAUUCGUAGAUAUUCGGAGGAACACCAGUGGCGAAGGCGGCUCACUGGCUCGAUACUGACGCUGAGGUGCGAAAGCGUGGGGAGCAAACAGGAUUAGAAACCCGAGUAGUCC